Molecule: long non-coding RNA, 1143 nt
Organism: Leptidea sinapis
Lineage: Eukaryota; Metazoa; Arthropoda; Insecta; Lepidoptera; Pieridae
Exons: 3
Source: RefSeq, a predicted model, not a curated record
ACGCGCACCCGACAUGCGGAGAACGCUCCUACUAUUCGAGCAUUACGUCUGAUCGGCGACUUGCUCACUCAGUGUGACAUUGAUUUAUUUGUGGACAAAUUUCAAACGAUUGUUAAUGACAUGCAUAUUAUGUUAGAUAGUACUUGAAUUAUAUAUUAAUAACAUUUUUAUUUAAUUUAAUUAUUGACUUAAAACUUUGGAAUUAUUUUAUUUGAUUAUUUGGCGCUAUGGACAUUAUUUGAUUUUAUAUAACUUGACAUUUUUUGUAUUAUUUUAUCAUUAUUUAUUUUAUCUUUAAUUUAAAAUCUAAUUUUAUUAUAUUAAUUGUAUUUUUGGGACUAGCUUGUAAAUGCUUUGGGUAAAACUGUAAGUUUACAGGUUUAUAUAAUAAAUAAAUUAACACCGAACCCUGUCGGAGGCCCUUCCAGACAGUUCGAGGUGGGAGGAGGGUUCCUUGAUGGCGGACGGAAAUAAAGCGACCCAUUAACAUAUUACAAAUGAUAUUGAUCACCCUAACAGAAAUACUCAACUGGUGCAUUUUCUGCCUGAGUAGAGGAAGGUGAACGUUGUCAUAUGCCGCUGAGACAUCUAGAAAGACCCCAACAACAUGCUCGCUUCAAGAUAUAGCUAAGAUGGCGAGUGGAGGUGUCGAAUGUCAAUAAGUCCAAUCGGCAAUCAAAUAUAUCAUACUACAAUGUUUUAAUAAAACUCUGCAGUAAAGUUCCAAGAAAUAGCUUUUCCGUACACGAGAUAUUUUAAGAGAAUUGGCGGCAGUUGGUAGCAAGAGAGAGUAGUGAAGAAUUUUACAAACAAAAUAAGUCUAGUAUAAUGUACCUCCCGGAUGAUUCAAAUAUUUAUUGCAACACCUGAAAAACGAAAACUAAAGACUGUCAAAACCCAAACUACUACACCACUCAAAAGAAAAGUAUAAAAAAAAAUAUUAGUUAUGUAUAUUGUUUUUUUUUUGAGAUAAUCUUUAAUACAUAUUCCUAGUUUAUACUUGGCUUAGGUAUUUUAAAAUUAACAAAGGGGUUGUCUUAAAAUUAGAUGAAAUGAAUAUUAAUGUAACUGUCUAUAUAAAGAAAUACAUAUUUGUAUAGUAUUGCCACCAUUUAUGUCACCAGAAUGUGUCCAAUUUAUUAU